Molecule: long non-coding RNA, 222 nt
Filed under: Elaeis guineensis (African oil palm)
Lineage: Eukaryota; Viridiplantae; Streptophyta; Magnoliopsida; Arecales; Arecaceae
Description: long non-coding RNA (EGUI_LNC042989)
Source: RNAcentral
GGCCCUAGAACUAUUAUCGUAAUCUAUGAGACUUGUCAUAAUCUUAAUUAAGUCAUAAAUGAGAUAAUAAGAUAUAGCAUAUAACAAAAUAUAAUACCUCAUAUUAUAAAUAAAUAAUCAAUAUCGUAUAUAUUAAGAUAAAAUAAAAAAGUCUCAUCGCAUCAUCCAUGCGAUUGACUUAUUGGGCACUAUUUUUUUAGAGACCCCAUUAAGCCCUAGCUG